AGCGAACGCUGGCGGCAGGCCUAACACAUGCAAGUCGAACGAAGUCUUCGGACUUAGUGGCGGACGGGUGAGUAACACGUGGGAACGUGCCUUUAGGUUCGGAAUAACUCAGGGAAACUUGUGCUAAUACCGAAUGUGCCCUUCGGGGGAAAGAUUUAUCGCCUUUAGAGCGGCCCGCGUCUGAUUAGCUAGUUGGUGAGGUAAAGGCUCACCAAGGCGACGAUCAGUAGCUGGUCUGAGAGGAUGAUCAGCCACAUUGGGACUGAGACACGGCCCAAACUCCUACGGGAGGCAGCAGUGGGGAAUCUUGCGCAAUGGGCGAAAGCAUGACGCAGCCAUGCCGCGUGAAUGAUGAAGGUCUUAGGAUUGUAAAAUUCUUUCACCGGGGACGAUAAUGACGGUACCCGGAGAAGAAGCCCCGGCUAACUUCGUGCCAGCCGCCGCAGUAA
RNAcentral lists this ribosomal RNA (449 nucleotides) under uncultured bacterium. RNAcentral describes it as "partial 16S ribosomal RNA". It matches the Rfam family "Bacterial small subunit ribosomal RNA", at positions 29 to 523 of the family's 1533-position model. The record is from RNAcentral.